GCAAACUUGGUCAUUUAGAGGAAGUAAAAGUCGUAACAAGGUUUCCGUAGGUGAACCUGCGGAAGGAUCAUUAAAAAAUGGAUCGAGGAAAAAAAAACAACCUUGUGCAAUUAUUGAAAGUUAAUCUUUGGGAGAUUGAGGAAAGAUUUUCUUUCUCGUCUUCCAAAGGUGUUUGAAUAUACAAAACUUUUUUAAAUGUCUUAAUAAUGAAAAAUCAUUAAUAUAAUAAAAACAACUUUCAACAACGGAUCUCUUGGCUCUCGCAUCGAUGAAGAACGCAGC
RNAcentral lists this unclassified non-coding RNA (282 nucleotides) under uncultured fungus. RNAcentral describes it as "partial contains small subunit ribosomal RNA, internal transcribed spacer 1, and 5.8S ribosomal RNA". The stretch from base 1 to 73 matches the Rfam family "Eukaryotic small subunit ribosomal RNA", at positions 1759 to 1831 of the family's 1831-position model. Lineage: Eukaryota; Fungi. The record is from RNAcentral.